UCAGGGCUGGCAUUUUCUGUUUCCCUCCAGACUCUUCUUGCCAACUGGAUUCCAGGAAGGACCAAAGAGCCUUUUCUAUGCAACCAUUUUGAGGGCUGAAGCAGCCUGACUCCUCCUCACUCUGUCCAGAGUGCCUGGCUCACUCUGUCAGGCCAAGUGACCAGACAAGACCACAACGAGCAGCACAAGGAGGUGGUGGAAGUACAAGUCCGAGAUUCUGGGCAAAAACUGGUUUCUGCUGGCUGAUGGUUGACAUUGAAGUGUCCUGUGGUGGUGGUGGAAGAGCUGUGUUGGCUCGAAAUCAAUGUCAGCAGACGUUUCAUUGCCAUUUUAUCAGCCCUUUCUGCAUGUCACUGUUUUCUUGGCUGCCCUGAUUGUCCCUCAAAAUCGUCGGUGGGAGUCAGAAUUCACCUGGAGGGCAAAACCGGGCAGCCCACACCUGGCCCGCGGCAGGAGCUGCUUGACAGAACCAUGUAGAAGCCAGCAGGAUGGGAAAUUGGGCUGAGGCCGCCAGAACACCAGCAGAACCUGUGGCAUUGCACAAAUUUGACUGUCAGAGCUCCAGCUCUCCUUGAUUCCGUCUCACAAACAACUAAAAUCAAGGCUUUUCUCAAGAACUUCUGCUAAAAAAAAAAGCUGGAAGUGCAACACAAAAUGUAAAUAGCAUUCACAUUUUCUGAAAAAUCCCUUCACCCGGGAUUUUUCUCCUGGGAAGCUGAGAGGUCUCAGAGAAAAAGGAAAACAAUAGUGAUCUGAUUUGCUUCUCCUGUGUUGUGCUCAUGUGGAAUGUGUUUGGGGAUUGUUUACCCACAGGUGGUUGUUUUAUUUGGUUUCUGUGAAUUGUUUUGAGUGCCAAGCUGUGUUGGGACUCUGGAGAUGGUCACAAGUUUCAUUAUUAUCUUUUUAGCCUUCUGUCUGUAC
Serinus canaria (Common canary) is the source of this 921-nucleotide long non-coding RNA. RefSeq lists it as uncharacterized. The transcript is spliced from 3 exons. The record is from RefSeq and is a predicted model, not a curated record. NCBI's taxonomy places the organism in Eukaryota, Metazoa, Chordata, Aves, Passeriformes, Fringillidae.